GACGAACGCUGGCGGCGUGCUUAGCACAUGCAAGUCGAACGUGAUUUUUGUGGAAAUUCUUUCGGGAAUGGAAAUGAAAUGAAAGUGGCGAACGGGUGAGUAACACGUGAGCAACCUACCUUACACAGGGGGAUAGCCGUUGGAAACGACGAUUAAUACCGCAUGAGACCACAGAAUCGCAUGAUAUAGGGGUCAAAGAUUUAUCGGUGUAAGAAGGGCUCGCGUCUGAUUAGCUAGUUGGAAGGGUAAAGGCCUACCAAGGCGACGAUCAGUAGCCGGUCUGAGAGGAUGAACGGCCACAUUGGAACUGAGACACGGUCCAAACUCCUACGGGAGGCAGCAGUGGGGAAUAUUGCACAAUGGGGGGAACCCUGAUGCAGCGACGCCGCGUGAGCGAAGAAGGUUUUCGAAUCGUAAAGCUCUGUCCUAUGAGAAGAUAAUGACGGUAUCAUAGGAGGAAGCCCCGGCUAAAUACGUG
This 478-nucleotide ribosomal RNA is filed under the name uncultured bacterium. Its description in RNAcentral is "partial 16S ribosomal RNA". It matches the Rfam family "Bacterial small subunit ribosomal RNA", at positions 28 to 507 of the family's 1533-position model. The record is from RNAcentral.